AUGACGACGAGUUUGAUCAUGGCUCAGAAUGAACGCUGGCGGCAGGCCUAACACAUGCAAGUCGAACGGGUACCUUCGGGUGCUAGUGGCGGACGGGUGAGUAACGCGUGGGAACAUACCCAAAGGUACGGAAUAGCCUCGGGAAACUGAGAGUAAUACCGUAUGUGCCCUUCGGGGGAAAGAUUUAUCGCCUUUGGAUUGGCCCGCGUUGGAUUAGGUAGUUGGUGGGGUAAUGGCCUACCAAGCCGACGAUCCAUAGCUGGUUUGAGAGGAUGAUCAGCCACACUGGGACUGAGACACGGCCCAGACUCCUACGGGAGGCAGCAGUGGGGAAUCUUAGACAAUGGGGGAAACCCUGAUCUAGCCAUGCCGCGUGAUCGAUGAAGGCCUUAGGGUUGUAAAGCUCUUUUACCCGAGAUGAUAAUGACAGUAUCGGGAGAAUAAGCUCCGGCUAACUCCGUG
This 462-nucleotide ribosomal RNA is filed under the name uncultured bacterium. RNAcentral's name for it is "bacterial SSU rRNA". It matches the Rfam family "Bacterial small subunit ribosomal RNA", at positions 1 to 507 of the family's 1533-position model. The record is from RNAcentral.